RNAcentral lists this ribosomal RNA (252 nucleotides) under uncultured Bacteroidales bacterium. RNAcentral's name for it is "partial 16S ribosomal RNA". It matches the Rfam family "Bacterial small subunit ribosomal RNA", at positions 524 to 776 of the family's 1533-position model. The record is from RNAcentral. Lineage: Bacteria; Pseudomonadati; Bacteroidota; Bacteroidia; Bacteroidales.
UACGUAGGGGGCAAGCGUUAUCCGGAUUUACUGGGUGUAAAGGGUGCGCAGGCGGAGGUGCAAGUCAGCGGUCAAAUUGCGGGGCUCAACCCCGUACUGCCGUUGAAACUGCAUCCCUUGAGUGCGCGAGAAGUAUGCGGAAUGCGUGGUGUAGCGGUGAAAUGCUUAGAUAUCGCGCAGAACCCCGAUUGCGAAGGCAGCGUACCGGCUCCACACUGACGCUGAGGCACGAAAGCGUGGGUAUCGAACAGG